Molecule: ribosomal RNA, 883 nt
Filed under: Wolbachia pipientis
Lineage: Bacteria; Pseudomonadati; Pseudomonadota; Alphaproteobacteria; Rickettsiales; Anaplasmataceae
Description: bacterial SSU rRNA
Rfam family: Bacterial small subunit ribosomal RNA
Source: RNAcentral
UAUAACUUAGUGGCAGACGGGUGAGUAAUGUAUAGGAAUCUACCUAGUAGUACGGAAUAAUUGUUGGAAACGACAACUAAUACCGUAUACGCCCUACGGGGGAAAAAUUUAUUGCUAUUAGAUGAGCCUAUAUUAGAUUAGCUAGUUGGUGGGGUAAUAGCCUACCAAGGUAAUGAUCUAUAGCUGAUCUGAGAGGAUGAUCAGCCACACUGGAACUGAGAUACGGUCCAGACUCCUACGGGAGGCAGCAGUGGGGAAUAUUGGACAAUGGGCGAAAGCCUGAUCCAGCCAUGCCGCAUGAGUGAAGAAGGCCUUUGGGUUGUAAAGCUCUUUUAGUGAGGAAGAUAAUGACGGUACUCACAGAAGAAGUCCUGGCUAACUCCGUGCCAGCAGCCGCGGUAAUACGGAGAGGGCUAGCGUUAUUCGGAAUUAUUGGGCGUAAAGGGCGCGUAGGCUGGUUAAUAAGUUAAAAGUGAAAUCCCGAGGCUUAACCUUGGAAUUGCUUUUAAAACUAUUAAUCUAGAGAUUGAAAGAGGAUAGGGGAAUUCCUGAUGUAGAGGUAAAAUUCGUAAAUAUUAGGAGGAACACCAGUGGCGAAGGCGUCUAUCUGGUUCAAAUCUGACGCUGAAGCGCGAAGGCGUGGGGAGCAAACAGGAUUAGAUACCCUGGUAGUCCACGCUGUAAACGAUGAAUGUUAAAUAUGGGGAGUUUACUUUCUGUAUUACAGCUAACGCGUUAAACAUUCCGCCUGGGGACUACGGUCGCAAGAUUAAAACUCAAAGGAAUUGACGGGGACCCGCACAAGCGGUGGAGCAUGUGGUUUAAUUCGAUGCAACGCGAAAAACCUUACCACUUCUUGACAUGAAAAUCAUUACCUAUUCAU